This 441-nucleotide ribosomal RNA is filed under the name uncultured bacterium. Its description in RNAcentral is "partial 16S ribosomal RNA". It matches the Rfam family "Bacterial small subunit ribosomal RNA", at positions 338 to 795 of the family's 1533-position model. The record is from RNAcentral.
CCUACGGGGGGCAGCAGUGGGGGAUAUUGCACAAUGGGGGAAACCCUGAUGCAGCGACGCCGCGUGGGUGAAGAAGUAUUUCGGUAUGUAAAGCCCUAUCAGCAGGGAAGAAAGAAGACGGUACCUGACUACGAAGCCCCGGCUAACUACGUGCCAGCAGCCGCGGUAAUACGUAGGGGGCGAGCGUUAUCCGGAUUCACUGGGUGUAAAGGGAGCGUAGGCGGCCGUGCAAGCCAGGAGUGAAAGCCCGGGGCCCAACCCCGGGACUGCUCUUGGAACUGGGCGGCUGGAGUGCGGGAGGGGCAGGCGGAAUUCCUGGUGUAGCGGUGAAAUGCGUAGAUAUCGGGAGGAACACCGGCGGCGAAGGCGGCCUGCUGGACCGCGACUGACGUUGAGGCUCGAAAGCGUGGGGAGCGAACAGGAUUAGAUACCCGUGUAGUC